RNAcentral lists this long non-coding RNA (572 nucleotides) under Lactuca sativa (garden lettuce). RNAcentral describes it as "long non-coding RNA (LSAT_LNC010237)". The record is from RNAcentral. Lineage: Eukaryota; Viridiplantae; Streptophyta; Magnoliopsida; Asterales; Asteraceae.
AGUGGAUAGUUAUAUAUUAAGUAAAAAAAGUUAUAUAUUUAAGUGGAUAUAUUCCAAUCUUUAUUAAAUCCAAUAAAUAAGAAAAACAACACCUACUAAGGUUUUCAUCCAUUUGGUUUAACCACAAACUAACAUUUCGAUUCACCUCCGGAUGAAAGGAGAGGAGUCAUAGGGUUUGAUGAUCCAAGUUCAUCUGCACCGUCCAAAUCCGUCUCUAUCUUCUUUUGUUUGGCCUGGCCCCACAUCACCAUAUAAAAUCCUCCAGCAACUAUCAUGGCUCCAAUGGCACUGCAAAAGUGUGAAGAAUGAAGACACAAAUUCAAGAGGGUUAAAUGCGAGAAAUUGCAACGUACUUCCGUCUAUUUGUUUAAUAUAUCAACCUAUUUUCAUUUCUUCCUAUCAACAUAACAUUGUCUUUAUAAUAAUAUAGCUAAACAUAGCAAUGAUAUAAUAGAAAGAAAUAAAAAAGUAUGAUGAUAUAAUAAACAAAUAAACGUAAUUAAGCAUGGUUUUAUUGUGUUACAUUUAGCCCAUUUCAAAAUUCAAACUUCAAGAACAAGCCUCGAUCGCAU